AUUGAACGCUGGCGGCAUGCUUUACACAUGCAAGUCGAACGGUAACAGGCCAUCGGGUGCUGUCGAGUGGCGGACGGGCGAGUAAUGCAUCGGAAAGUACCCUGCGGUGGGGGAUAACGCAGCGAAAGGUGUGCUAAUACCGCAUGUGAUCUGAGGAUGAAAGCGGGGGACCGAGUAGCAAUGUUUGGCCUCGCGCCUUUGGUGCGGCCGUUGUCGGUUUGGCUAGUUGUGGGGGUAAAGGCCUACCAGGCCGAGGAUCCGUAGCUGGGCUGAGAGGAGGACCAGCCACACUAGAACUGAAACGCGGCCCAGACUACUACGGGACGCAGCGGUGGAGAAUGUAAUACUAGGGGCGGAAGCCUAAUCCAACAAUGCCGCGUGGGGGGAGAAGACCUGCGGGUUGUGAUGCGCUGUUGUGAGGAACGAAACGAUGUCCACUAAGACCAGGCGUUAAUGACGGUACCUGCAGAGUAAGCACCGGCUAACUACGUG
Molecule: ribosomal RNA, 492 nt
Filed under: uncultured bacterium
Lineage: Bacteria
Description: partial 16S ribosomal RNA
Rfam family: Bacterial small subunit ribosomal RNA
Source: RNAcentral